This is a long non-coding RNA of Raphanus sativus (radish), 701 nucleotides long. RefSeq lists it as uncharacterized. NCBI's taxonomy places the organism in Eukaryota, Viridiplantae, Streptophyta, Magnoliopsida, Brassicales, Brassicaceae. The record is from RefSeq and is a predicted model, not a curated record. The transcript is spliced from 2 exons.
AAAGAAAGUUUAGGUAAGGGGAGAGAAGGUAUAAAGAUCUUGAGAGAGAAAGUUCAAAGUUCUUGUGAAAAUUAAGAACUCAUCUUCCACAUCAAAACUGUUCAAGAAGAUUUCUGCAACAAUGAAUAUGGAGCUUAUUUUCCUGCUAGUUUGUCAUCCAUGGUCUCGUCUUCUAUUUUUUAUUGGAACCAACUUCUGAGAAUGGAAAGAGAAAUUUGAGUUGAUAUUGAGAGUACUAUACUUGGAUUUGGCAUCACGCGAAGAUGAACCAAAUCCACUAACAGAGGAAAGUACCGAUGAAAAGAAAAAUAUAAGAAUUGGGAAAAAGCGAAUAGACUGAGUAUUAUGUUCUUAAGGAUGACAAUAGCUAGCAACAUCAAAUCUUCCCUUCCACCUACAGAAAAAGCGAAAGCUUAUGUAUCAGCUAUAAAUGAAAUGUCAGAGUACAAGACAGGAACCAUCCAAUAUCCCCGAACCGAACAUACAAAUAUGCCGUCGAAACCAUGUGUUUAUGUGGGUAGAUAAAACAAAUCUCGAAGAAUUGAAAAUUUUAACUGAAAAACAAUCUCUGAUGAAGAAGACUUGAUGGACAUGAAACAAGAAUUUCUUGAUAUGAAAAGACAUAAGUGUAGAUAAUUAUCGUACUACAGAGUAUUUCAAAGUUUUAGAAUUGAAACUGUUUGUUUUUAGUUUGUUUUUGA